RNAcentral lists this ribosomal RNA (429 nucleotides) under Pseudomonadota bacterium. RNAcentral's name for it is "Proteobacteria bacterium partial 16S ribosomal RNA". It matches the Rfam family "Bacterial small subunit ribosomal RNA", at positions 355 to 776 of the family's 1533-position model. Lineage: Bacteria; Pseudomonadati; Pseudomonadota. The record is from RNAcentral.
UGGGGAAUAUUGGACAAUGGGCGAAAGCCUGAUCCAGCCAUGCCGCGUGUGUGAAGAAGGUCUUCGGAUUGUAAAGCACUUUAAGUUGGGAGGAAGGGCAGUAAGCGAAUACCUUGCUGUUUUGACGUUACCGACAGAAUAAGCACCGGCUAACUCUGUGCCAGCAGCCGCGGUAAUACAGAGGGUGCAAGCGUUAAUCGGAAUUACUGGGCGUAAAGCGCGCGUAGGUGGUUCGUUAAGUUGAAUGUGAAAGCCCCGGGCUCAACCUGGGAACUGCAUCCAAAACUGGCGAGCUAGAGUAGGGCAGAGGGUGGUGGAAUUUCCUGUGUAGCGGUGAAAUGCGUAGAUAUAGGAAGGAACACCAGUGGCGAAGGCGACCACCUGGGCUCAUACUGACACUGAGGUGCGAAAGCGUGGGGAGUAAACAGG